This 244-nucleotide ribosomal RNA is filed under the name uncultured Staphylococcus sp. RNAcentral describes it as "partial 16S ribosomal RNA". It matches the Rfam family "Bacterial small subunit ribosomal RNA", at positions 96 to 334 of the family's 1533-position model. The record is from RNAcentral. Lineage: Bacteria; Bacillati; Bacillota; Bacilli; Caryophanales; Staphylococcaceae.
CGGCGGACGGGUGAGUAACACGUGGACAACCUACCUAUAAGACUGGGAUAACUUCGGGAAACCGGAGCUAAUACCGGAUAAUAUAUUGAACCGCAUGGUUCAAUAGUGAAAGACGGUUUUGCUGUCACUUAUAGAUGGAUCCGCGCCGCAUUAGCUAGUUGGUAAGGUAACGGCUUACCAAGGCAACGAUGCGUAGCCGACCUGAGAGGGUGAUCGGCCACACUGGAACUGAGACACGGUCCAG